This 349-nucleotide unclassified non-coding RNA is filed under the name soil metagenome. RNAcentral's name for it is "partial contains 5.8S ribosomal RNA, internal transcribed spacer 2, and large subunit ribosomal RNA". The stretch from base 1 to 120 matches the Rfam family "5.8S ribosomal RNA", at positions 35 to 154 of the family's 154-position model. The record is from RNAcentral.
GAUGAAGAACGCAGCGAAAUGCGAUAAGUAAUGUGAAUUGCAGAAUUCAGUGAAUCAUCGAAUCUUUGAACGCACAUUGCGCCCGCCAGUAUUCUGGCGGGCAUGCCUGUCUGAGCGUCAUUUCAACCCUCAUGCCCCUAGGGCGUGGUGUUGGGGAUCGGCCAAAGCCCGCGAGGGACGGCCGGCCCCUAAAUCUAGUGGCGGACCCGUCGUGGCCCUCCUCUGCGAAGUAGUGAUAUUCCGCAUCGGAGAGCGAUGAGCCCCUGCCGUUAAACCCCCAACUUUCCAAGGUUGACCUCAGAUCAGGUAGGAAUACCCGCUGAACUUAAGCAUAUCAAUAAGCGGAGGA